Molecule: long non-coding RNA, 1384 nt
Filed under: Carassius auratus (goldfish)
Lineage: Eukaryota; Metazoa; Chordata; Actinopteri; Cypriniformes; Cyprinidae
Description: lncRNA (ENSCARG00000046340.1)
Source: RNAcentral
AUGCAAUCUGUGUUGUGCAGAGGUCACUGUGAACCAGACAACUGCGAGCAGAUGGUGUUGGGUUUUAAUUGGUGUACUUGUUUCGCUCAGGGUAAAACCGGGCCAGCGGGGCCAGAGGGCAUGAGAGGACCACGAGGGGAACCCGUGAGGAGGCUUUUGAUGAACCAAUUAAAUUGCAAAACAAAACAGCACCUGUGUGAUUAUUCGGCUGGGUCACUGUAUUUUUUUUUUUUCUUUAGGGUCAGCCUGGAGAACCUGGACAAACAGGCAAGCCUGGAUCUCAAGGAAAUCCUGGUCAGCUAGGACACAAAGGUGAAACAGGGAGUCCAGGGUUACCCGGCUUCCCAGGUCCAAAAGGGCCAUCGGUGAGUGGAGAUGUUGCUUUGGGACUUAUGGGAAUCUCAGUUUAAUUAGUAAAGUUAAGCUUUUAUACUUGUACAAACAAGCCUUGUAAAUCUAUAGAAGCUGAAAGCACUCGGUCCCAAGUGGAUAUGAUCUUCCUGUCUAUAUUUACACUUGUGUUUUUCCCUCAGGGUCCAUCUGGUCCAAUUGGCCCAGAAGGCAAACAAGUGAGUGAUGAUUCAUUAAUAUUCUAUCAACACGUUUUCAUAUUUUUUUCAGCUUGCUAUUUAUUUUUGUUUUUAUUUUUAGGGCAUGUCAGGAACACCAGGAGACAGAGGACAGAAGGGAGAAAAGGUAUCUGUUCAUCCACAUGUGUGCCUCUCAAAUCAAAUCAAAACUUACCGUGUUGCUCGUUUUUGUAGGGUGAUAAUGGAAUAAAAGGAGACAAAGGACCCGUUGGUGAUCCGGGUGUUCCGGGUAACCCUGGGCCUCCCGGCAGGAAGGGUCACACAGGGAUGAUGGGCAUGUCGGGUCCCCCAGGGGAAGUGGGUCCCUCUGGGCCCCCUGGUUCUCCAGGACAGCCGGGUCUCCCAGGUCUCAGAGUGAGUCUGCUUUAGUAGUUUUAAUAGAAAGUGUGUGAUGCUAAUGAUAUUAAAAAAAAAGAGCAUGAGGUCAUUACGCCGUGUUUUAAGGGAGAGACGCCAUCACUGGAACAAAUGCGGCGGCUCAUUCAAGAGGAACUCUCCAAACAGUUAGACGGUGAGAUUCAUUUGGCAAAGAUGUUUUCGACUUACUUUGCUGUGUCUUUUUACGUUUCCUGAACGUCCCGUUGAUUUUCACAGCAAAGUUAGCUUACCUCAUGGCUCAAAUGCAGCCUGCGCAUAUCAAGAGCUCAGUUGGGCGCCCUGGUCCACCUGGUCCGGCAGGUAAAGAUGGACCUCCUGGCCAACAAGGACCACCGGGAGAGCCUGGAAUACCUGGACAGAAUGGAGCAGAAGGACCCAGAGGUCCAGUUGGUCCUAAAGGUACCGCAAAACUCAUU